Long non-coding RNA from Felis catus (domestic cat), 1932 nucleotides. RefSeq lists it as uncharacterized. NCBI's taxonomy places the organism in Eukaryota, Metazoa, Chordata, Mammalia, Carnivora, Felidae. The record is from RefSeq and is a predicted model, not a curated record. The transcript is spliced from 4 exons.
AAGUCCCGCGGACGCUCCAUGAUGAGUGGCACCUAAGCUGUCCGGUUCUUCGGGUUUUCCCAGCGCAGAGCCCGGUAUAUACUGCAGGCACUCCAUCAAUACUUGUUGGGUAAAUAGUCAGAAAGACGAUCCAGAGGGUACUAGAAACUCCCAAGGGACUUACCUGCCUUGUGCAACGGAAUUCCCCGCACGCCCAGAGCCCAGCAGAGAGGAGGCACUCCAUACACGCCUUCCAACCACCAACUGCUGAAGGAGGCUCAGGUUAAGUCAUUCUCUUCAGGCUCCAGGACAAGCGGGCCCGGUUUGUAGGUUACAGCCUUAUCUGGGGACCCUCGUUUUCCACCCCAGCUACACGUCUGUGAACAAUCGCCUCUCUCCGGCCCCUGAAAGGAGAGCGAGCGCCCCAUUUCUGCUGAAUGCACACGUCUCAGUUCAUCCAAGGCUGGCGGGCUUUUGAUGGCCACAAUGCGAGUUACGCCCAAAGAGUGUCUCUUUGGUCAGAUCGACAACGCUUGGCUUCACGUUUGCAAGUUAAACGGGCAGAAACCCGGCUGAAACUCCCACGCCAGACGCCGGGGACGCUUCCCUCCGCCCAGUAGCUGCUUUCUUCCAGGCCCUGAAAAUGUGACUCCUUCAUAAAAUCAAAAUUUAUGAUUAUUCAAAUGUUGGGGACUGUGAAAAGAGAGGAAGAAAGAGAGAAAAUUAAUAUUGCAGCUGUUCUUCUGAUUAAUGAGAGAUAAUUGCUCAUGAAAAGUCACCCCUGUGGCAUUUUGUUGUCUCCUGGAUCUUUGUUCUUUUCCACUAUUAUUGAGGACUUUCUUGAAGACUAAGCGGUUCUUUUCAAUUUUUGGGUAUUCAGAAAGGGUUGCCUGGUUACAGAGAAUGGGGAAAUCUCGGGCUAUAUCGGGUAAGAUGUGCCACAGACAGCAAUAUCACAAUGCCACUCGGAGAAAAGGAUGGAUACAAGUUAACGAUGCGCUUUCAAUAAAACAUUCAUAGACUUGUUCACGCUUUGAUAAUGACCUCAUUAAAGGGAGCUGGGGGCAAGUAAGUCCUGUCUCCUGUUUGUGUUCGGCUAACAAAACCCAGCUUUGAGAUCAUUCAUCGCUUUGGAAACUAAUAUGAAAUCAAUGUAAGAGGAGCAAAUAAAUCCGAGGCCGGCCCCGCCGACUCCUGGGCUGUCCCGCCCUGCUCUCGGCCUCCGUUUGGGGCAGAAGAACCGUGUAGGCAAAUGCUAAAACUGAGAGGAAAAAGGAGGACUGGGGAUGGGGGGGGGUUACUUUGGAGGGGAUGCAGAGGGAAAGACAAUGUGGGAGUUACGGAUGGAAAAACAGCUAAGCACAUCAGUAGGUCAGAACUCUAGGGCCUGUGGAAUAAGCAACGGCUAAGUCCACAUUCUUUGCUUUUCCUGACUUUGCCCAUGAAAGGAAAUAGAAAGAGUGGGAAGCAAGAGGGGAAUGUGAGGUCCAGGUCAGGUGUGACCCUGGAUGGGGGAAGUACUGGAACACUUCUUGAAAGCUACAACCAAGAAUUGAAAUCUCAAGGUUGAGCUAGGAGGAAACUGCUCCUCCAGGCUCAAGUUGGAGGAUCCAGGGGCAAGAAGACGGCACCUCUAAACUGCUUUGAUUUUUUUUCUCAUUUGAAGGUAGGGGUGGGGUACCCUGACUGGUGUGUGUUAGGGGGAGAGGAGGGGACAGUUUUGUUACCUUCAUAUCUGUGACAUUGUCUUGCACUCAAGGAAGACAAAGCCAUCCUCUGUCAUCCCAGCAAAAGAGAGGAAAUCAAAGGGUCCCCCCUCCCCUUAAAAGAACUAAUUUUCUCCUUGAAUUAUGAAAGUAAUGGCUUAGGUAACAGCCUGUACUCUGUACCCGACUGCUUAAUACCGAAUAAAUCCUUCCACGUGGCUCCCCGAGUCGUGGCAAUUAGAGCUCA